ACAAGAUUUAGGCACUUGGCACUAGUCUGCAGUUCCUAAGCGCAUGCGCUUUACUCAAGCCCCCCCCCCCCAUAUGCUAAUCACUGCGCUCGAGAGUACAGCCUCUCCCAGGCAUAUGCAAAUCACUCCUUCCAGUGCCGGAGGCCCUCCUUUGUCCCGCGCUAGGAUUAUGUAAAUGAGAAGGCCUCGGAUCCAGGAUCCCGGCCGAGGGGUCGCCCUCCACCCACAACGCAUCCCAUUUUCAUAAAGCGCGUUCCAGCCACGCACACGCACGCGCGAGCCCUGGAGCUUCUCGAUCCUUCAGGCCGCGGACUGUACCAAGUAAACGCGGGCAGUGAGGGGCAAAGCACGGCAACCCGUGCGCGGGUUCCCUCCGUGGCCCGACUCGGAUAGCCCCUCUUCCCACAGUGCGACAGGAAUGGUCCAUCUGGCUGCGCAAGCGCCCUAGGCUCCUCACGCCCCUUGCUCUCCCUCCUACUCUGCUUGCAACGCAGGCGCAGAGUCUGGGCGUGCAGCCGCCACCGCCGAACCGGAGCUGGGGCCGCCAGCCCCGGUGAGUGUCCGCGGUCGGGGUGCGCGGGGCAUGCUGGGAAGCGGGCGCUACGGCCCCGCUGCAUGAUGGGAGCGGCGGCAGCCGUCACCGAGGAGCCUGCAGCGGUCUUGAGCCGUGAUGACCUGAGGGCAAGACCCGGACUCCUUUCCUUCCCCUACGCGGCUCCGCACGCUCCUGGGGCAUCCUGGGAAAGCCAGCACUGCGUCUUAACAGCGUUGGAGUCGGUCUGCUGGUCGUUAUAGGCCUGGUGUAUCCUGGGAAGGAUUACCCUAAAUCCCUGUGGGGGUCCGGUCCCUUUUGUCCUGCGCCCUCUACUGAGCAUCCUGGAAGUCGGCAGUGCUUCGGUGUAGGGCGUCUUGGAAGGUGGUCAUUAUAGGCCCGAAGCAUCCUGGGAAGAAUUGCCGCAGGGCAUUGUGGGGACCGGUCCUUAUUUUGUAUAAGGUCCUUGCCUUACCAUAUGUGCCAGUGCGUUCCUGCUGUUUUCAGGCGGGCCAUUCUGGGAAUAGGUUGUUGUAGGCUCAGGGCAUUGCUGGGUCCAGGUCACCGAUUUUGCCUGUUGGUUGUGACGGAGCUUUAUUUAUACUCCUUUAAGAUCUUGGGAGCCAAUCUGACCACCAUAGGUGUUGUGUGACUUAAGUGCUUAGUAUUCCAGAGUAUGGAAUACUCCGAAAGGCCCUUGUGUGAUGUGAGUUUGGGGAGGGGUGGGCUGGAAUGGUGGGCGUUGUCUUCAGGUAACCUCUUGCGAGGUCCUGAUUGUCCCUGUUGUACGGUUGCCAGAUAGAAUUAGAAUGUCCAGUAAAAUUUCAGGUAAAUAACAAUCUUAGAAAAGUACAAGGGUGCCACAGCCUGUGAUCUGAGCUACUCAGAAGGCUGAGGCAGGAGGAUUGCAAGUUCACAGCCAGCCUGGACAACUUAAAGAGACCCUGUGUCAAAAAUAAAUAAAUAAAUAAAUGAAAAGGGCUCAGUGGCAGAGCAUACCUGGGUUCAAUCCCCAUAACCCACUCACCUGUACCCCCCCAAAAGGAAGACAGAAAGAUCAUCCCAAAUAUUGCAUGAAUAUACAUAUAUUAAAUAAUUCUUAUUUAUCUGAAAUUCACAUUUAACUCGGUGUCCUGUUUUUACUUGCUAAAUCUGUCAUUUUUAUCCAGGCAUACUGUAGAAUUUCCAAAUUAGAAUUUCCUAUAUAUACUAGGGUAUUAUAAAAACUCUUCUUUGCCAAUUUUUAAUUCUCUCUAUCCUUACAAACUCAGAUCCAGAUAUCUUUGUGUCACUGGGGAUUGAACCCAGGGGCUUUCUACUACUGAGCUUCAUCCCCAGCCCUUUUAAAAUUAAUUUUGAGACAAGGUCUUUCUUAAGUUGCAAAGGCUAGCCUUGAACUUUUCAUACUCUUGCCUCAGCCUCCUGAGUAGCCGGGAUUAUAGGCAUGUGCUAUUGUGCCCAGCUUCCAAUUGUCUUCUUUAGGAAGUUCUCCUGCCAAGUUUCAUCUUUUUCCAGGCUUCAGUGUGAUCUUAAGUCCUCAGCAAUGAACUUGACCUCUGGGCUUUGAAGACAGGUAUUUUCCACCAUUGUAUCCCCAGUGCCUAUCACAGGCUUUGUCAUAUAAGGGGAUUUGCCAGCCCCUUCACUAACUGGCCCAGCAUGGCUCUCCACCAUUAGGGAGUGCAGUAGGAGAAACAGAAAGUACUAUCUAUGUUUUCAGGGGGGUCUUUUGGUAAAGAGGAAAUAAAAGAGAAGGAUUAGGAAAGUCUCCCUGGGAGAGGCAGAGUGUUUGGUCUGGGAAGAAGCGUAGAGGUUCCUGUGUUUGUAGUAGGCUUUGAAGGGUGAAAAGGAGAUCUCCAGAUCUACAGGGGCCAAAAAGGACAUUCCAGAGGGCGCACCAAGACCUCAGAUGUAAUAAGACCUGGUGUGCACAGGGAGAGGUGAGGAGCCUGGGAUGGCUGGAAGUUCAUGGAGUUCCUGUCACAUACCAGCAAUUUGUGAGUCUACCAAAUCUUCAAAAAAAAAUCUCUUGAGCCAUCAAAAUCAUUUUAUGAGAGGUAGGAUGACAUAGCUUCAAAUUCUAGUUUGACCACCUCCCAGAUGUUGUGAUCUUGGACUACUCAUUUAUCUUCUACCUCACCUUCCUCAUCUGUACAAAGAAGAUAAUGUCUCAACAUGGUUUGGAGGUUUGUGUAAGUCAAGGCCUAGAUACCUCUUUCAUAUAGAGAAGGUAGUUAGGUCCUUUGCUUAAAGCUCCCUAGCUAAAGAGUGACAGAUUUAGGAUACUUACCUAAACACUUCUCUUGACACUUGAUACACAACUAAGGCUGACAUUCACAAACUGGUGCAACCAUAUCAAUUGCUUAAUUUUUUUAAAAUGCAUUUUUCCACUGAGCUACAUUCCUAGUCCUUUUUAUUUUAUUUAUUUUAUUUUUUAUUUUUUAAUAUUUUUUUUUAGUUGUAGUUGGACACAAUAUCUUUAUUUUAUUUAUUGUUAUGUGGUGCUGAGGAUCGAACCCAGCGCCUCGCACCUGCUAGGCGAGUGCUCUACCACUGAGCCACAACCCCAGCCCCAUUUUUAAUUUUUUUAUUUGAGACAGGAUCUCAUCAAAAUGCUGAGAGUCUUGCCAAAUUGCUGAGGCUGACCUUGAUCUUGUAAACUCAGCCUUCUGAGUCACUGGGAUUACAGGUGUGUGCCAUGCUACCCAUCUUCAGUUGUUUCAGUUUUGAAAUACCAAGUACUCUGUAUCCCUAACUACCACUUUGGAUCCUCUUCCAGCCCUGGACCUCCCCACAAUCCAGCUCCAAAAGGGUUUAUGCCUGCCCCACUCUUUAAUUCUGAUUAGUGCGCCUAUGCCAGUAUCUACUGUUAAAUAUAUGGAAUGUCACCCUUCCUACCCCAUUGAAUAAGAACCACAAAACAAUCUCAUUGCCCGGAUAAGGAAAUUAAGGCCUCCAGAGGGUCAAGGGCUACAGCUGGGGCUCUGAAGACAGUCUGAGACAGAGCCUCACCCCAGCACUUAGCACACAGUGGGACUUGGAAUAGGGACGAGCACUAUGUAAAAAUUUAUUGAGUCACCACAGGCCUUUCCUUUUCCCUGUCCAGCAUCCCUCUCUACCUGCCAACAUCCUGUAUUAGAAGAAUUGGUGGCCGGAGGUGUGACUGAAGAGCUGGCCGGGAAGGGACACUGCCCAGCUGCUGCUCUUCUCCUGUCUCCCAUCCCCUCCCCUGGCCAUGACAGAGACUCGGGAACCAGCUGAGACUGGGGGCUAUGCCAGCUUAGAAGAAGAUGAUGAAGACCUCUCCCCAGGUGAGAUGGCUUUAGUGGUGGGAGUAUUGUCUUGACUAUUGUCCUGGCCUAGGGUUUGGGCUCCACUGGGAAAUUUUGAUUGGGAGUGGUUCCUUGUCUUGCUAUGCGUUCUGUCCUGACUGGAAGUUCUUUUCCUGCUAGGAGAUCUGUUCGCACUGAGACUCUUAGAAGUUGUAGGUUGGCCAGGAUCUUUCUUCCUCCUGGUGAUUCUAGAUUGGCUGUGAUCUGACUCCUUGCUGGAAGUUCUAGAUGGGCUAAGGUCUCUCUCCUUGCUGCCACUUCUAGAAUGGCUGUGACUUCUUUCCUCACUGGGGGUUCUUGACCAAUUGUGACCUCUUUCCUUUCUGAGGGUUCUAGAAUGGUUCUGACUUUUCCUCCUCCUGUGGGUUCUAGACUGACUGUAUCUUCUUCUAUGUCUGGGAGUUCCCUUCCAGUUGUGACUUCUUGCCCUACUAUGAUUUCUCUUCCAACUGUGACUUCUCAUCCUGCUGUGGGUCCUCCUCCAACUAUGACUUCUCGUUUUUCUAGGGGUUUUAGAUCCACUAUGACUUUGGGUCCUGCUGGGGGUGCUGGACAGGCUGUGACUCCAGGUCCUGCUGUGGGUGCUAGAGAGGCUGUGACUUCUUGUCCUUCUGGGGUUGCUGGACUGGCUGUGAUUUCGGGUCCUUCUGGGGGUGCUGGACUGGCUGUAAUUUCGGGUCCUUCUGGGGGUGCUAGACUGGGUAUACGUCUUGGUCCUCUUGGCCACUUCAGUUGGGCUGUAACUUGGUUCCCUCUUGGGGGCCGUCAUCUGACUAGAACUCUUCACUCUCCUUGUUGGUGUUGGAGACUGGCUGUUGCCCUUCCCCUGAAAGGGUGUUCUAGUUGGGCUGUAACUCUUUGAGCGGCUGGGGGUUACAGGCAACCUGGAACUGCUCCCCACACCUAAGGCUUCUCGUGGGCCAUAACUCUUUUUCCUGCUCAUAUUUUUAAGCUGGCUGUCGCUCUUUUCCUGGGUGUUGGUUCUAAGCCGGCUAUAACUCUUGUCCCGACUCCAUUUUGGAUGGGAAGUAGGAGUUCUCACCCUUUUAGCUAAGCCUGAUUUGGUACCAUGAGUUCUCAUCCUGCUAGGAGUGCUGGCCCUGCUGGGUGACCUCGUAGAGCUGCGACUGCUCCUUCUGCCAGGUGUGCGGCCCCGGCUGUGCGUGCCUUUCUGAUGAUGGUGUUUUGUGUUGCUGGUCUUGCUGCCUUUGCUGGUCCUUGUGUCAGUGCUUGCCCUACUGGGCGUUCUUACUUUAUUGCGGACUUGGGACUUGCUACGGGACUGGUUAGAAGUGGCCGGCUUUGUACUUGUUGAUUUGGUGGACUUGGAACUACUUGGGCUCAUGACUGAGUUGGGGGAUGUUGAUGGCUUGGGGGCUACUGAGGAGGUGUUGGGCAUUGCUGAUUUGGUGACCUUCAAGGAGGCAGGAGAUAUGGGAGCCGUAUCUGGCAUGGAGGAUCCAGUAGAAGCCACAGACGUGCUGGGCUUUGAGGAUCUCUUAGGUGAAGGCAUGAUGGGUGCAAAAGGGCUUGUGGUCCUAGAAGUCAUGGUGGACAUGCAAGACCUGGUAGCCAUGGAUAGUGACCUGAUUGCCUGUCAUGGGCCCACUGUGUGAAGUCAUAGUGGGCACUGAAGCAUCUGGAGGAUGGACAGUGUGAAGUCAGGCGUGAGAGAGCAGAGGGACCCUGGUCCAAAGUUGGAGAUAUUGCCACCGUUUUGUAGCUAUUCAGCAAAUGUCUCAGAGACAGACAUGCUCAGCAUUGCUGGAGACACGGAGGGGUUGGUGAUAGCCCUAGCCCUUCCUCGAAGAGUCUUCAGCCUCCAGACCUGCUCAGUCACUGCCCAAGGUGGUCAGAGUGUGAUAGGGGUCCAGUGGUUGAAGGAAUCCAGUGAACAAACAUCAACCACUGGGGGCUGGGUGAACUUUGCAGAGGAGGUAGCAUGUGAGCUGGGCCUUGAAGAGGAGCAGUUAUUGUCCACAGAGUAGGAUAGGGUCCCCUAGGGAGGGAGGUCAGAGCUCGGGCCACUGUCAGCCAUUGACCUGCACGUCCUCUGCUAGACAGUGGUGGGACCUGAGGUCAGAACUGCCCUUGAGGGGUUCUCAGUCUGAUGGGGGAGACAUAUGAGGUUCUGGAAGCUACACUCUAAGGACAGUUAUGGGGGACCUGGGACCUUAGGUGGGGUAGCCAGGGCAGAGUGAGUUUGGGAGAGACCCCUGGAUGGUAGCUGGGGGAAUCAGGGUAAUGGCUUCAGGGAGAACAGCCCAUGCUGGGUCCUGAAAAUGACUAGGUGACCAGGUGGAAAGAGUCGGGGACAGCAUUCCAGGCACAGGGAUCAGUACACAUCAAGGCCUCAGGAAACGUUUGGUAAACAGCAGGAUGUAGCAGGAUGGGGCACGAGCAGCCAGAGCUGUGGGAGGCUGUUCAGCAGGUAUUCGUAACCUGUUCUGGGCUGGUGAGGACAGGGACCCAGCAGUGAGCCACACAGGACUGUCCCUGGUCUGGUGGGGAUGGAACCUGGACACAAAUGCAUAGCCCUUUGGGCUCAGAGCUGGGGACAGCUGGGACAGCAGAAGCACAGUAGAAAUGGUGAUUAGCUGCCUGGCGUGAGGAAGUCUGGGAUAGUGUCACCAAAGAAGGAGCCUCCUCCUGGGUCCUCACUGGAAUCUAGGGCAGGAUAUUCACAGCCGAGGGAAGAGCCAUGUUUCAGAAGAGGCCUGGAAGAUGGAUGCAAAGGUCUCCGUUCCACAAACACGCAGGCACUAAAACGCUAGAUGUCACGCCUCAUGGUGAGCCUCGGUCUCUGCUCUCAGGAACAGACGGUGCACACCCCACAGGCAUGUGCUGUGAGCAGUGAGACGGAUAUGAAAGAAAAGUGGAGUAAGGGGCAGAGGGAGGGCUGGGGAGGACUGCUGGUACACAGGGUAAGUGACUAGGGAGUUCCUGAGAAGGUGACAGUGGAGCAGAGUUGAGGAGAAGAGGGAGUGAGUGUGGUCUACAGCGAAGGCUCUGAGGUGGGUUCAUUCCGGGGGUGUUGAGAGAUAGCCAGGAGCCCACUGUGGCUGGAGAGGACAGAAAAGGAGGUCAGAGAGGUGCCAGAAGGCCUGUGGCCACUGUUCUGUUGCGGGCAGAGCACAGGUGCCCUGGCCAGCUCCGAGGAAGUAGGGUCCUCGGGCGGUGGAUGAGGGUAAGGUUGGUGCCGCCCCCGAGAGUCCUUGGGCAGGGCCCUCCCUGGCAGCUGAGGAAGCCACUGUUUCCCUGUCAUCGUGGGGUUUGCUCUGCAUGUGCACCCCCAGACCACCUGCUGAUAACACCCUUUCCUGUAUGUCAACUUCAAAAUGUCCCCUUUUCUUAAACCUAAACUUGUCCUAGGUAUGUCCUUCCUACCCACGAAAUCACCGUAAUGUAUCUAUACUUAGAAAAAAAUGUAUCUCCUCCACAUGACCACAUACAUCCACAUACAUGCUUAUGUGUGUAUGGUUUCUUCCGCAAAUGAUGUUAUGUGUGUUUUAAUUUGUUUAACUCCCUGUUCAAAUGCGGUGGGUGUUGGCCAGCACCUAUGUAGCUCUCUGUGUCAGCCGAGCGGAGUCCUGCUGCUCUGUGCCUCACUUUCCACAUUUAUCAGGUGGAGUAACAGUGGUACCCUCCUUCCAAGGGUUGCUUUAAGCUUUGCCAUGUGUGUGUGUGUGUGUGUGUGUGUGUGUGUGUGUAGAUAAAUAAAGAGCAGGACUUUUAAAAUAGCAGUGAAUGCUUUAUUGUUGCCGCUAACCCCACUCCACCCCAGACGCGGUUCUUGCUAGACAUUCAUUCUCUGGACACACAGAUAUGGAGCAUCUACUGUGUGCCAGGCCCAAUUCUGUGCCCCGAGGCCCCAUCUGUGGAGAAGGAAGAUCAUGCCGGGCUGCCCUCUCCAUCCUACAGGUCUGAAUGGGGGCAGUUGGGCUUAGCCCUUUGUCCUCUGACACCACUCUCUCCCCUCGUCUGUCCUGACAGGCCCUGAGCAUUCCUCUGACUCCGAAUAUACUCUCUCAGAGCCGGAUUCUGAAGAAGAAGAAGAUGAGGAGGAGGAGGAGGAGGAGACCACUGAUGAUCCCGAAUAUGACCCGGGCUACAAGGUGAAGCAGCGCCUUGGGGGAGGCCGGGGAGGCCCGUCUCGCCGGGCCCCCCGUGCAGCCCAACCCCCAGGUCCCCCAGCCCAGCCUUGCCAGCUCUGUGGCCGCUCACCGCUUGGGGAGGUCCCACCGGGCACCCCACCUUGCCGGCUCUGCUGCCCUGCUACAGCUCCCCAGGAAGCACCAGCCCCUGAAGGGAGGGCCCUCAGGGAGGAAGAGGAGGAGCCACCCCGAGCUGGGGAGGGACGGCCAGCUGGGCGGGGGGAGGAGGACGAUGAGGAGGAGGAGGGCACUUACCACUGUACAGAGUGCGAGGACUCCUUUGACAACCUCGGCGAGCUCCACGGCCACUUCAUGCUGCAUGCCCGGGGUGAGGUGUAGGCAGAGCCCCCCACCCAGGGAGCUGGGCAGAGGGGUGGGGUGGGAGGAGGGGGCUGAGGAAGCCAGCGUGGUCAUGGGGAGUGGGGUACCGCUGAUCUGUGUUGUCUUAGUAGUAGACAUGUGAAGGCCGGAAUAAAAGGCAAAUUCUGUGUGUGCUGGCCUAGCAUGUGUUUGGUGGGGGGUGCGUGUGUGUGAGAUAUAUGAUACACACCUGGGCCUUUAUCCCCACCCCCACCCCAGGCUUCUCCUUAUGGCACCUCAGGGUCACCGUGGCCAGGAUGACUCUCCAUUUCCUAACGGCUGGCCAUCUGUGUGGUUCAUGUAUUUACUCGUAGACUCCAGGAUGAAGAGGCUCCAACACAACAGAAUUUUGUUUCUCACUCAUUUAAUAGUCUCAGGUGGGUGAUUUGGUAACCAGGCUGCCCCUUAAGACUAUCAUCACCCACACAGGGUGGGUGGCCACACUUGGGCCCCACUGGUGGGGGAGGACAGGGAGCCUGGAAGUUCUUCUGCGAGCCCUGGCCUGCCUUAACCAAGGAGCCAACUGCAAAGCAACCUGGGAAAGGCAGUCUAGUUCAGGCCCCAGAAAGUAGGAUAUGGUUUGUGGGGGACAGCUAGUGUCACAUUGCCUGAGUACCUCACAAAGAGGACUGCCAUCAGAAUCAUACAAGGCUUUGCAAGCAUUUCCUGAGAGUCUCGUUCUGGGCCAACGGCUUAAUGUAUAUGGACUCAGAAAUUAUGCAUCUAGGAACUUACAAAAAUAGAAACUUCAUGAUAAUUGUAGCUCCCAUCUUCCCAAGACUUGAACAGCGCUGUACUUUAUUUGCAUGAGAUCAUCUGGUUCUUGAAAUAACUUUGUCAAGUAGGGAUUGUAAUGCAUUUCAUUUAACAAAUAAUUUUUGAUCACCUGCUGUGUGCUAAGCAUUGAGAAUGCACCAGUGAAUAAGAUCCUUGUCUUCGUGGAGUUGAUGUGGGGUGAGUAUGGGCUGCCACUGGAGACAGACAGAAAACAAAUGAGAUACAGCAAACGCUGGAUGGUGGUAAAUGCUGUAGAGAAAAUAAAGGAGAGGGAGAGAGGGGAGAACAGUUCUGGAAGGGGUUGCCCUUUUAAGUAGCAUAGUCUUCCCUGAGAAGGUGACCAAGACCUGAAGGAAGGAGGGAGGGAGCCGUGCUUGUAGGUGGAGGAGAGAGAUGCAGUUGAGUGGAGUAGGAGCCCACCUGGGAUGUCAGGGAGACCUGAGUGACAGCAAGGGAGGGAGGAGGGCUGAGCUGAAGGAUCAGUGAGGGUCAGAGGGUAGCAGAGGGCUGGCUCAUUGCAGCCUUGGUGAAACCUGGGCUCUCUGGUAUGGGAAGUACUAAUUGGCAGAGGAUUGGCACCAAAGCUGCUUUGAAAAAUAGACACCUAAUCAUGGUAGUUACCGUUUACUGAACAUUUAUAUGUGCCAAGCCGUGUUCUCUGGUGCUUUACAUGGGUUCGCUCAUAGAAGCCUGGCAACUAAGAACCUCCAAGAAUAGGACCUGAAUUACCAUAAUGGCAUCAUUAAGUCAACACUGCCAGCGGACCAGGCCCUGGGCUAAGUGCUUUAUGUGAACAAAUACCUGGGAUCCUUAGGAGGUAGGGACUGUUGUGGUUUUUUCUCAUUCAUUCAGCAGUGCUUUAUCAAGUACUUGUGAGAGGCAGGCACUGUUCUGGGAGCUAGGAAUGCCGCAGCAAACAGAAAAAAAACCUCUGCCUUCACGGAGGUUACGUUACAGUGGGGAAGACAGUAAGCAGAUGAUUAAGUAAAAUAUACAAAAUGUGUAGAAGGCAGAAGAAAUAGGAAGUGUAGUGGGAAGCUGGUGUGUGUGAAGGUUGUAGUGUUCAACAUGGUGGUCAGGGACCACUGAGGUCAAGUACCUGAGAAGGUGACAUCAAAUCAGGACCUGGACAAGGGAAAGGAGUGAGCCACUGGGCUGUCUGGGGAAACACUGAGUGCAAGAGUCUGGGGGGCCUGCUUGGGAUGUGUGAGGAAGUGCACGAGGCGCCAUGAGCUCUGGGAGCAAGGGGAGGACUGGUAGGAGGUGGGGCAGCACAGCAGAGGGCUGUGCCAUGUCGGCCGUGGCACCUUGGCUUCCUCUGAGUCCUCGUAGUAACAUAGGGGCAAUUUUCAUGACCAUUUUAUAGCUGCUGUAGCAGGAAUGUACAGCCAUUGAGUUACCUGCUAGAAGUCACACAGCCAGUGAGAAGCAGAGCUCAGGUUUUAACCCAGACAACCUGGUGCAGGGCAUAGGUUCCACUACUGAGCUGCACACCACUGUGGCUGCCCACAGCUAGUCAGGCUGACUUGAAAGGAUGUAGCUGUCUCUACUGAGGGCUUAUUUUUUGCAGUGUUGAGGAUUCAAACUAGGGGCAAUGUACUACUGAGCUACAAUCCCAGUUAUUUAUGUUUUAUUUUUUAUUUUGAGAUGGUCCUCCUAAGUUGCCGAGGCCAGCCUGGGACUUGUGAUUCUCCUGCCUCAGCCUCCUCAAUAGCUGGGAUUACUGUCACACGCCACCAUGUCUGGCUAGCUACUGAAGUUUUUAAGAUCACAUUGAUUACCAACAUUGAAAAUUGGGAAAUUUCACAUAAAAAUGGAAGUUUCUGCCUUCUUGAAAAAUUAUGAGAGUGGGACUCCCUCCCAUGAGGCAGUAGUUUGAUAUACUGACUGGGGGCCACCUCCUAUGGGAGAGGCAUUCAUUCUGGGGUGCCCCAUGCCUGACCUGCCUGGCACAGAACA
Molecule: long non-coding RNA, 11114 nt
Filed under: Marmota monax (woodchuck)
Lineage: Eukaryota; Metazoa; Chordata; Mammalia; Rodentia; Sciuridae
Source: RNAcentral